Molecule: ribosomal RNA, 478 nt
Filed under: uncultured bacterium
Lineage: Bacteria
Description: partial 16S ribosomal RNA
Rfam family: Bacterial small subunit ribosomal RNA
Source: RNAcentral
GAUGAACGCUAGCGGCAGGCCUAACACAUGCAAGUCGAGGGAGAAGCCCUUUCGGGGGCCGACACCGGCGCACGGGUGCGUAACUCGUAUGCAACCUACCUUUCACAGGGGGAUAGCCCGAAGAAAUUUGGAUUAAUACCCCAUAAUAUUAUUGGAUGGCAUCAUUUGAUAAUUAAAACUGCGGUGGUGAAAGAUGGGCAUGCGUCCUAUUAGCUAGUUGGAGUGGUAACGGCACCCCAAGGCUACGAUAGGUAGGGGUCCUGAGAGGGAGAUCCCCCACACUGGUACUGAGACAGGGACCAGAAUGCGACGGGAGGCAGCAGUGAGGAAGAUUGGGCAAUGGUCGGAAGACUGAACCAGCCAUGCCGCGUGCAGGAAGAAUGCCUUAUGGGUUGUAAACUGCUUUUAUAUGGGAAGAAUAAGGCGUACGUGUACGGUGAUGACGGUACCAUAUGAAUAAGCACCGGCUAACUCCGUG